UAUUCUGCCCUACGGGGAAGAUGACGAAGCUUCGACUAAGGUUCGACUCGAGCGUAGCGAGAGAACGUUGCCGAAGGCAACGGUCCGAAGGGCGAGGCGCUUUAGCGCCGAGUAUCUCUCUAC
RNAcentral lists this small RNA (123 nucleotides) under Klebsiella quasipneumoniae. RNAcentral describes it as "partial RtT sRNA". It matches the Rfam family "RtT RNA". Rfam says of the family: This family represents a bacterial cis-regulatory element known as RtT RNA. The exact function of RtT is unknown although it is thought that it may be involved in changing the cellular response in relation to amino acid starvation. The record is from RNAcentral. Lineage: Bacteria; Pseudomonadati; Pseudomonadota; Gammaproteobacteria; Enterobacterales; Enterobacteriaceae.